AUGAGAAUUUCCAUUGAUGAGUGCAAAGAAAGAACCGCUAGGAUGCGUGCUAAGAAAGAUUGCUUUGUGAAAGCACGUUCUUCUAAUUUCUAUGAAAAUAAAGAUGGAGAUCUAAAAGUUAUUGAUGUGUCCCCUAUUAAAUCUUUGUUUUGCAAUAUGAAUCUUGAUAAUGAUGGGACUGAAUAUGAUCCACCUUUACCUAGAAGGCGUUCCAAAAAUUCGGAGUUUUUAGAUCUUGAUGCAAAAAUUGGUAAAAGUGGGAUUGAAGAGAUCAAAACUCUAGAUAUUAAUGAACCCACUAUUUUGGAUUUCAAGGAAUUUAAUUAUGAUAAUUGCUCUUUGAUAGAUUGUAUUUCCUUGUUGCAAUCCGUGUUAAAUUCUCCACAUGCUUAUAGUCAACAUAAAGCUUUUACUAAACAUAUCGUUGAUACUUUGAUGCAAUCUUAUGAAGAAAAACUUGAGUUGGAAGUUUCUAUCCCUAGAAAACUUUAUGAUGAGUGGGAACCUACUAUUAAAAUUAAAAUUAAAGAUCAUGUGUGCUAUGCUUUGUGUGACUUGGGUGCUAGUGUUUCCACGAUUCCAAAAACUUUGUGUGAUUUGCUAGGUUUCCGUGAUUUUGAUGAUUGCUCUUUAAACUUGCACCUUGCGGAUUCCACCAUUAAGAAACCUAUGGGAAGAAUUAAUGAUGUUCUUAUUAUUGCAAAUAGGAAUUAUGUGCCCGUAGAUUUUAUUGUUCUUGAUAUAGAUUGCAAUCCUUUAUGUCCUAUUAUUCUUGGUAGACCUUUCCUUAGAACGAUUGGUGCAAUUAUUGAUAUUAAGGAAGGGAAUAUUAGAUUCCAAUUUCCGUUAAGGAAAGUCAUGGAACACUUCCCUAGAAAGAAAAUAAAAUUACCUUAUGAAUCUAUUAUAAGAUCCACUUAUGGAUUGCCUACCAAAGAUGGCAAUACCUAG
RNAcentral lists this ribosomal RNA (951 nucleotides) under Triticum aestivum (bread wheat). RNAcentral describes it as "partial small subunit ribosomal RNA". Lineage: Eukaryota; Viridiplantae; Streptophyta; Magnoliopsida; Poales; Poaceae. The record is from RNAcentral.